CCCCGCCGCCAUGUUGGGUCUGUGAGGGGAGGACCCCCUCCCCCCGCCUCGGCGGUCGCGUCUUGAGGGGAGCCGUGGCCGAAGCCGCCAGAGGCGUCUUGCGGGGCAGGGAGGCGGGUGCCUCCCGCCACCCCUGUGAGGGAAGGGCCGCCGAGCCCCGCCGGAGCCGCUCCCGCACGCCCCGCGCAGCAGGGGGCCCGCCGGCACGGUCCAUCGCUCCGUGAAGCGCAGGGCGGCCGUCGUUUUGGGGACGGCCUCGAGUCUUGGCAGCUAAGGGAGAAGCCCCAUGAGGCCGAGGUAGUUACAAGAGAAGGCAGGAUUUUUCCGCUCUCACUGCAAUUUCUGUGCUUACAGAUACGUGUGGUUGAAAGGCAUCAAAAUUUUAGAAAAGGCUGGAAGAUGAGACAACUGAAGGCUGGCACAGAAAAGCCCGAAUCUCUGUGUGCUGCC
Chroicocephalus ridibundus (black-headed gull) is the source of this 450-nucleotide long non-coding RNA. RefSeq lists it as uncharacterized. The record is from RefSeq and is a predicted model, not a curated record. Lineage: Eukaryota; Metazoa; Chordata; Aves; Charadriiformes; Laridae. The transcript has 3 exons.